UACGAAGGGGGCUAGCGUUGCUCGGAAUCACUGGGCGUAAAGGGUGCGUAGGCGGGCCUUUUAGUCAGGGGUGAAAUCCUGGAGCUCAACUCCAGAACUGCCUUUGAUACUGAGGAUCUUGAGUUCGGGAGAGGUGAGUGGAACUGCGAGUGUAGAGGUGAAAUUCGUAGAUAUUCGCAAGAACACCAGUGGCGAAGGCGGCUCACUGGCCCGAUACUGACGCUGAGGCACGAAAGCGUGGGGAGCAAACAGG
This 253-nucleotide ribosomal RNA is filed under the name uncultured bacterium. RNAcentral describes it as "partial 16S ribosomal RNA". It matches the Rfam family "Bacterial small subunit ribosomal RNA", at positions 524 to 776 of the family's 1533-position model. The record is from RNAcentral.